RNAcentral lists this ribosomal RNA (535 nucleotides) under uncultured bacterium. RNAcentral's name for it is "bacterial SSU rRNA". It matches the Rfam family "Bacterial small subunit ribosomal RNA", at positions 777 to 1314 of the family's 1533-position model. The record is from RNAcentral.
AAUAGAUACCCGGUAGUCCACGCCGUAAACGAUGAGUGCUAAGUGUUAGGGGGUUUCCGCCCCUUAGUGCUGCAGCUAACGCAUUAAGCACUCCGCCUGGGGAGUACGGCCGCAAGGCUGAAACUCAAAGGAAUUGACGGGGGCCCGCACAAGCGGUGGAGCAUGUGGUUUAAUUCGAAGCAACGCGAAGAACCUUACCAGGUCUUGACAUCUCCUGACCGCCCUGGAGACAGGGUCUUCCCUUCGGGGACAGGAUGACAGGUGGUGCAUGGUUGUCGUCAGCUCGUGUCGUGAGAUGUUGGGUUAAGUCCCGCAACGAGCGCAACCCUUGUCCUUAGUUGCCAGCAUUCAGUUGGGCACUCUAAGGAGACUGCCGGCUAAAAGUCGGAGGAAGGUGGGGAUGACGUCAAAUCAUCAUGCCCCUUAUGACCUGGGCUACACACGUGCUACAAUGGGCGGUACAGAGGGUCGCGAACCCGCGAGGGGAGCCAAUCCCAAAAAACCGCUCUCAGUUCGGAUUGCAGGCUGCAACUCG